AGGGUUUGAUCAUGGCUCAGAACGUACGCUGGCGGCACGCCUAACACAUGCAAGUCGAACGAAGUAGCAAUACUUAGUGGCAGACGGGUGAGUAACAUGUGGGUAUCUGCCCUUUGGCCUGGAAUAACACGAGGAAACUUGUGCUAAUACCGGAUAAGUCUUUACGGAGAAAGCUUUAUGCACCAUUGGAUGAGCCUGCACUUGAUUAGUUUGUUGGUGGGGUAAUGGCCUACCAAGACUGUGAUCAAUAGCUGAUUUGAGAGGAUGAUCAGCCACAUUGGGACUGAGACACGGCCCAAACUCCUACGGGAGGCAGCAGUGGGGAAUCUUGCACAAUGGAGGAAACUCUGAUGCAGCGAUGCCGCGUGAGUGAAGAAGGCCUUUGGGUUGUAAAGCUCUUUCGUCGGGGAAGAAAAUGACUGUACCCGAAUAAGAAGGUCCGGCUAACUUCGUGCCAGCAGCCGCGGUAAUACGAAGGGACCUAGCGUAGUUCGGAAUUACUGGGCUUAAAGAGUUCGUAGGUGGUUGAAAAAGUUGGUGGUGAAAUCCCAGAGCUUAACUCUGGAACUGCCAUCAAAACUUUUCAGCUAGAGUAUGAUAGAGGAAAGCAGAAUUUCUAGUGUAGAGGUGAAAUUCGUAGAUAUUAGAAAGAAUACCAAUUGCGAAGGCAGCUUUCUGGAUCAUUACUGACACUGAGGAACGAAAGCAUGGGUAGCGAAGAGGAUUAGAUACCCUCGUAGUCCAUGCCGUAAACGAUGUGUGUUAGACGUUGGAAAUUUAUUUUCAGUGUCGCAGCGAAAGCGAUAAACACACCGCCUGGGGAGUACGACCGCAAGGUUAAAACUCAAAUGAAUUGACGGGGACCCGCACAAGUAGUGGAGCAUGUGGUUUAAUUCGAAGAUACGCGCAGAACCUUACCAACACUUGACAUGUUCGUCGCGACUUUAAGAGAUUAAAGUUUUCGGUUCGGCCGGACGAAACACAGGUGCUGCAUGGCUGUCGUCAGCUCGUGUCGUGAGAUGUUGGGUUAAGUCCCGCAACGAGCGCAACCCUCACUUUUAGUUGCCAUCAUUAAGUUGGGCACUCUGAAAGAACUGCCAGUGAUAAGCUGGAGGAAGGUGGGGAUGACGUCAAGUCCUCAUGGCCCUUACGUGUUGGGCUACACACGUGCUACAAUGAUAUCUACAACAGGAAGCAAGACUGCGAAGUUAAGCAAAUCCUUAAAAGAUAUCUCAGUUCGGAUUGCACUCUGCAACUCGAGUGCAUGAAGCUGGAAUUACUAGUAAUCGUGGAUCAGCGUGCCACGGUGAAUGCGUUCCCGGGUCUUGUACACACCGCCCGUCACACCAUGGGAGUUGGUUCUACCUUAAGGCAAGGUUUAAAACCCUUGACCACGGUAUAGUCAGCGACUGGGGUGAAGUCGUAACAAGGUAACCGUA
RNAcentral lists this ribosomal RNA (1439 nucleotides) under uncultured bacterium. RNAcentral's name for it is "bacterial SSU rRNA". It matches the Rfam family "Bacterial small subunit ribosomal RNA". The record is from RNAcentral.